AUGAACGCUGGCGGCGUGCCUAAUACAUGCCCGUCGAGCGAACGGACGAGAAGCUUGCUUCUCUGAUGUUAGCGGCGGACGGGUGAGUAACACGUGGAUAACCUACCUAUAAGACUGGGAUAACUUCGGGAAACCGGAGCUAAUACCGGAUAAUAUUUUGAACCGCAUGGUUCAAAAGUGAAAGACGGUCUUGCUGUCACUUAUAGAUGGAUCCGCGCUGCAUUAGCUAGUUGGUAAGGUAACGGCUUACCGAGGCAACGAUGCAUAGCCGACCUGAGAGGGUGAUCGGCCACACUGGAACUGAGACACGGUCCAGACUCCUACGGGAGGCAGCAGUAGGGAAUCUUCCGCAAUGGGCGAAAGCCUGACGGAGCAACGCCGCGUGAGUGAUGAAGGUCUUCGGAUCGUAAAACUCUGUUAUUAGGGAAGAACAUAUGUGUAAGUAACUGUGCACAUCUUGACGGUACCUAAUCAGAAAGCCACGGCUAACUACGUG
RNAcentral lists this ribosomal RNA (496 nucleotides) under uncultured bacterium. Its description in RNAcentral is "partial 16S ribosomal RNA". It matches the Rfam family "Bacterial small subunit ribosomal RNA", at positions 29 to 507 of the family's 1533-position model. The record is from RNAcentral.